UACGGGGGGAGCAAGCGUUGUUCGGAUUUACUGGGCGUAAAGGGCGCGUAGGCGGCCAGCGCAAGUCAGUUGUGAAAUCUCCGGGCUUAACUCGGAACGGUCAACUGAUACUGCGCGGCUAGAGUGCAGAAGGGGCAACUGGAAUUCUCGGUGUAGCGGUGAAAUGCGUAGAUAUCGAGAGGAACACCAGUGGCGAAGGCGAGUCUCUGGACGAUUCCUGACGCUGAGGCACGAAAGCCAGGGGAGCAAACGGG
RNAcentral lists this ribosomal RNA (254 nucleotides) under uncultured bacterium. Its description in RNAcentral is "partial 16S ribosomal RNA". It matches the Rfam family "Bacterial small subunit ribosomal RNA", at positions 524 to 776 of the family's 1533-position model. The record is from RNAcentral.